This 1950-nucleotide long non-coding RNA is filed under the name Homo sapiens (human). RNAcentral describes it as "non-protein coding LINC00320:7". Lineage: Eukaryota; Metazoa; Chordata; Mammalia; Primates; Hominidae. The record is from RNAcentral.
ACUGUGUGAUUUUUGUUCUUUAGUAGAAGGAUAACAUGACAUAGCAGGAAUAAUACUGCCUUUUCUUUCUGGCAUGGAUCAAGAGAAAAGAAAAUACAAGAAAACAGACAGAAGAUCCUAUCUGCGACAAUUAAGAGCACUCUAAGAGGAAAACACAUCCCACCACACAAGGCAAGGUACUUCUAUGGAAGGGUGAGCCCUCACAGAUGGAGCAAUGGGGCGCGCACACCUGAACAAGGGAGGGGAAGGAGUUCUUAUCCCUGAUGCAUGUGACCCCUGCUGCUGUGUCCUUCCCCUAUUGGCUAAGGUUAGACCACACAGCCUAAACUAAUUCCGAUUGGCUAAUUCAAAGAGAGCGACGGGGGCUUCUGACAGCUUUGGAGAUUGUGACAUUGGAAUAAAGGAAAAACGUACAGGACUCAUGAAGCGCUGAAAUGUUCACAAAUAUCAAGCAAAAGUCAAUGAAAUUUAUUUUGAGCUAUUUACAUCAUUUAAUAAUUGAGCAAGGUAUACUCCUAUGAACAAAAUUUGGAGCAUGUUUGUCUCUCUCUGCCUGGCGUCUUCAGAAUUUGGAAACUAGUUAGUCAUGGAAAUUUAUUUUGAGCUAUUUACAGCAUUUAAUAAUUGAGCAAGGUAUACUCCUAUGAACAAAAUUUGGAGCAUGUUUGUCUCUCUCUGUCUGCCUGGCAUCUACAGAAUUUGGAAACUAGUUUCGUUCCCAGAUUUCCUAAACUUUCCAGAGAAAAUGGUCUUCUCCCUGGCUCAGCAAGAAGAUGAACUUUAAACACUGAGAAACUGGUCAUCUCCCUGGCUCAACCAGAAGAUGAACUUUAAACACUACUCUCAAUGACUUGAUGUUCCCAUCACUACUCCUGUCAUAAAGGGAGGGGACUCAGAUAUUGAGAAUUUUAUGAUAGUGUGAACUGUCUGGUAUGUCAUUUAAGUAAGCCCGUUGCUGAAAUAUUUUCCAUGUUAUUAGAAAGAGCUGAAGAGAGGGAUUGAGAUGGCUUCUUUAUUUUUUGUCUUUUGGGAAUUAAAGGAACCUGGUUCAACAAGGGCCUACACCUAAGUCUCUUGUUGUACCAGAGUACAAUUUAGGACUGCUCCUGAGGAAGGAAUUAGCUAGAAAUCUAGAGAGUAAGGGUAACAGAUUUACAUAGAAUAACAGCCUCAGUAUUUUUGGUUCCUCUCCAGUAAAGAUCACAAAGAAUAUUGCUAAAUCGCUAAAACACCUUUGCAAUAACGUAAGGGCUUACAACUAUAUACCAAUGUAGCUCAGUUACUAAACUGGAGUAAACUAAUUUCUCUUGUGUAGAAAAAUUGGUUGGCUGUGGUUUUAUAGCAGAUCUGCAAUUAUUAAUAGUUAUGCCAAUAAUCGUUUAACAGUGCAUAUGUUAAUAUAUAUGGAAAGACAAUGUGUAUAGACAGAUGUGUAAAAUUGAAAAAUAAACAUAUAACAAGAGAGAAACAUCUAUCGAACAGACAAUAUACAUACACAUCAAACACAACAGCAGUUUUAGUGACCAUAAUAUUUAUUUCUCAUUUUUACAUUGCUUACUUUAGUGACAACUGAAAAUGACAGUUGGCAAUGCAGCUAACAGUUUCAAUAAAAGUAUAAAACAAAAGACUGUGUACAAAGCACCUGUCUUUCCGCUUUUGUAAUCUUCCGUUGGAAAAAAUUUACACACCUAAGUAACCAUCUGUUUUCUUCAAGAAAAAAUCAUUCUUAUUUCUCUCUCUCAUCUUGAAAACAGCUGUCAGCCAGGAGGGCAGAGCUGAAAUUUAUUGCCACAUCACAUGAAGCAUAGAACAGACUCCACUACUCCUUGAGAUUCAAAACUUUGCCUCUCACAAAGUUACCUUUUAUUUUCCUCUUGUUUGUCACUCAUCUCCCCUAGUGUGCUCUUUUUAUUUCUUUUACUAUUAAUAAUAAAAUCUGUGGAUGACUGU